This 1377-nucleotide ribosomal RNA is filed under the name Triticum aestivum (bread wheat). RNAcentral describes it as "partial small subunit ribosomal RNA". The record is from RNAcentral. Lineage: Eukaryota; Viridiplantae; Streptophyta; Magnoliopsida; Poales; Poaceae.
AUGGAUGCAGCUAGUUAUUCAUAUACUGAACAUGGUUUUAAAACUGCAAUGGAUGCAUUAAAGAAUGAGAGUGAGGCUGCUUGGGAAUGGCUAAGCAAAAUACCUAAACACACUUGGGCCAGACAUGCAAUGGAUAUGAACUGCAAAACAGACUUAGUUGUUAACAAUCUAAGUGAGGUUUUCAACAAGUGGGUUCUAGAUGUCAGGGCUAAACCAAUUAGGACCAUGGUGGAUGGAAUUAGGACAAAGUUAAUGGUCAAGUUCAAUGCAAAUAGAACAAAGGCUGAGACUGUAAGAUGGGAAAUUUGUCCAACAUAUGCUGAGAAAUUAGAGGAAGCAAAGAAGUUUGCAAGGAACUGUCAUGCUUUGAUGGCUGGGCCCAAUCUUUACCAAGUCACUAGUGGGGAGAGAACUUAUGCUGUGAACCUACAACAUAGGACUUGUGGGUGCAAGAAGUGGGAUAUGACAGCAGUUCCUUGCAAUCAUGCUGUUUCUGCCAUACACAAGGCUAAGCUUCAGCCAGAGGACUUUGUUCAUGAUUUCUUCAAAAAAAAGAUGUACCUGGCAGCUUACAGUCCCAUUAUAUAUCCUGUACCUGGACCUGAUAUGUGGCCAAGGACAGACAGUAUGGACAUUGAGGCUCCAGUUUUCAAAGAACACAAGGGAAGGGCACAGACAAAGAGGAGAAAGGGCCAAUAUGAGAAGCCAGCUCCCAAAGACACCUCAAGAAUGGCCUCCAUUACCUGCUCUAAUUGCAAAAAGGUUGGCCAUAGAUACACCAACUGUAAUGUUGCUUUGAAUCCAUCACUGGCAAUGAGAAAGAAUAGGCAUGAGCCAAGCAGCAGCUCCUAUGAACUUGAUGCAGCCACACCAGCAAGGAGGGCCUCUUCUGCUGCUGGUGCUGCUGCUACUGCACCAUCACCAGCAAGGAGGGCCUCUUCUGCUGCUGGUGCUGCUGCUACUGCACCAUCACCAGCACAGAGGGCAUCUUCUUCUUCUGCUACAGCACCUGGACCAGCAAAGAAGAGGGCCUCUUCUGCUUCUGCAACAACACCUGGACCAGCAAAGAAGAGGGCCUCUUCUGCUUCUGCAACAACACCUGGACCAGCAAAGAAGAGGGCCUCUUCUGCUUCUGCAACAGCACCUGGACCACCAAAGAAGAGGGCCACUUCUGCUGCACCACCACAGAGGACAGCUGCUGGUAGUUCAUCAUCUGUUGCAAAGGGUAAAACAGCAGUAACUAGAUCUUCAGCUGCUGCAAAGGGAGAAAGGGCAUCUUUCUUGCCUCCAAGGCCAACUGGUGUUUCCCAAAGAAUCAGGAAGCCCACCCAGAAAAUUAGAGAUUACUUGACUGCUUCAGGUGCUCCAUGGGAAUGA